RNAcentral lists this microRNA (21 nucleotides) under Marchantia polymorpha subsp. ruderalis. Lineage: Eukaryota; Viridiplantae; Streptophyta; Marchantiopsida; Marchantiales; Marchantiaceae. The record is from RNAcentral.
AGUCGGGGAGGCUCUUUGUCU